CUGGGCAUGCAGAUGCCUGAUGGGGGCUUGGACCCUUUCGUGGCACGAAAAGGAGAGAGACUGCUGUUCAUCUUAAAAGUCUCGAAGGAGGCAAAAACCCAGGCGGAAGUCAUGGCUGACUCUGAUCCUGCAUCUUCUCAUUCUGGUUGUUUUCCACCGCGUCUGCUCCCAUUUGCGUGGGAUGCGCUGGUCUCCUGCCCGACUCUUUUGUGUUCCUCUUUUGCAUGAUUAAAAACACGUUUCUAUAUGCACUAAACCAUCACCUAGCACUGGCACGCCUGGUUUUGGGUUACAGCUUUGUCCGUAUAAUAACAGCGAAGUUCUCCCUGGGUGUGAGAUGCGGGUUCGAACAUGUGGUGUGCGCGCCAGGGCUGGCCGCUUCCGGUUAAGUGGACGCGGGGACUUGACUGCGUCCCCUGCCUUGCAGGUAACUGGAAUGGGUUGCCUGGCAAGUUGGCCCUGCCCGGGACGCCGAAGGGACCGCUUCCCCAUUCCAGAGCCUGCCUCUGGCCUUCAGGGCCGCUGACAGGUCCGAAAAGAAAGAGAAGGCACUCAGUUUUAAAAAAAAGAGAUCUAGAGGACUGGGGAAAAGGGGAUGAGCCAAGGCAAACUGGGAAUUGCUCGGGCUUCCCCCGAAAGCCUCAGCUCAGUGCCGGGGGAGACCCCAACGGAGGGCCAGACUCCCCCAAAUCCAGUGGCCGAAGACCUGGAUUUCCUGGGAGGAUCCCCGGGGGCCCGAGGCAGGCCCAGCUGGGCCCCGUCUGCUCGGGACGCGGGAGGCCUCAGCCGUGGCGGGAGCCCCCGCUGUGGCGGCCUCGCCCUUCGAGGCCAGGAGAAGCGGCCCCCUCCUAAGCCGUCAGCGGCUCAUCCUACCGGGAGACCUGGAAAACCAGCAGCCGCGGGCCCUGCUGGGCUUGCUUUCGCCGCCCCGGCCCCUUCUCCCCGGCCAGUGGACCCCGCUCGCCGUCCCGUCUGUCAGUCUCGGUUUUAGCUCCUUCGGGCGCAGGGCGCUCGCCUCCCGGCCGGGCCACCCCACCCUCCAAUCCCCGAGGCCGACCCGACCCCUGCACUCCGCCAGGCCGCGAGGUUUCCCAGCGACCGGCGCCCCGGCCCGCGGCCGACCUGGAGGCCUGACUGCAGGGCUCGGGCGGGGCCCUCUCUCGGCUCUGGCUGGCGGCCCACUCCCGCGGGCGUACAGGCCUCGCCACCGGGCCUCGGCCUUGCCGCGGCCCACAGCGCCCUGGGACCGGCGCCCCCGAGGCCUGAGAACUACGCCCGGGGGGCGCGGGCUGAGGCUCAAGAGAGGUCCUAGGUGCGGGCCAGGGAUGGAGCCAGCCCAGAGAGAAAGGGGAAAACCCGGCAAGGCAAGAGCCUCAGUCUCGCCCCUGCCUGGCCCGCCAGGCUGUGAGUGGGGCCCAUUGGGCAGCGCCAACCUGGGGAGUCCGGCGUCUGCCCCAGCUGGGGGCCCUCGGGGCAGAGAUGAAGGAAAGAAACACUCCCAAGGUGAAAUACAAAGGGCCAAGAAUCCCUGUGGGAAAGAUAAAGAUUUGGGGCAACAGAUCUUUGUAAAGCAAACUACCCCCACCCUCAUCAGGACCUGACCUCCAAACCGAAGCUUAUACUGCCGGCUCACUUCUUGUUAAUUGCCGAUACGCAGCUGAAGUAGCUCCCUGACCUCUUUGGAGGACGGCGUCAUUUCAGUACCAAGUAUCACCAUUAUUGGGCUUAUUAACUUCAUUAAAACCGGUCUUGACUAGGAGUGGAGAUCGGAACUCUCUGGAUGUCUUUAAGCCAGUGUUCGCUCCCCGCCUCCUUCCCUCCCUCCGUUGCCUUCGGUCAGAGGAAUUCAUUUCUACUUCGCCUUUGAUUCAAAGGGAUUUAACUGCGUGGUCUUAGUUAAGAGAAGUUGUGCAGAGGUGAUGGAAAAAUUAGUUUCAGAGGGUGCUCAGUGCCUCUUCUUUCUGACCUUUUUUUUAAAGUUUCAGGAGAGAAACUGCCAACUGCGUUAUUUGCUGAGUAGCCCAAUGUUUAUCGUCAUUAUUGUUUUUAAAGAAGGGGUAAUCUUUCCCUGCCCCUUGCGGGACAUCCUGAAAACUGAAGGCAAUGGUAGAAAAUGGUUAUUUUGAUUCUGCAUUACUGUUGCAGAAGAAAAGCUGGGAGAUUAAGACACUGAAUCUGGGUAAACCUCAGGCCCCAAUUUAACUUCGUGUAAACUACAGUAUGUUGAAGGUUAUCAAUAGGUGCUGAAAACUCUUGCCAUCAAAUUUGGCCUCAAAUUUUGGUUGCAAACUAUUGCAUUUCCUUUACCAGCGAACCAAUUUACUUAUUAGGAAAAAUUACAGAGUUCAAGAGAGCAUGCGCAGCCAGGGACCGGAAAAAUGAAAUAGCCAGAAAACAAAAUGGUUGCAACUGCUAACCUUCAUUUAAAACGUUACAAUCAAGAGUCACUUAAUUUUGGUCAGCUGUAAGAGCUUAAGCAGCUUAAAAUGAAAUUAAAUAUUGCUUUUACCUGAGGAGCACCAUGAUCAUUGGCCCAUUUGUCUUUUCUGGUGACUGGUUUACAAAAUGCAGGUACAACUGAAAAGGGACCCAUUUUUUCCCCCUCGGCACUUUCUUAAACACAUACACACAAACUGACCAGGGUGCCUUAUGUUCAACUACUGAAAUUAUAGGUUUUAAAACUUUUCUGAAACUCUUUUGUUCAGGAAUCAUUUCUGCCUGAAUUACUUUCAGAUUCUGAUUACACUCCCUC
RNAcentral lists this long non-coding RNA (2752 nucleotides) under Homo sapiens (human). Its description in RNAcentral is "HSALNT0377214". Lineage: Eukaryota; Metazoa; Chordata; Mammalia; Primates; Hominidae. The record is from RNAcentral.